CCCCAGACGCGACCGCCUCCUUUCUCCACCGGCACCGGGACGGCGCGGCAGACCCCUUUUUCCUCUGGCACCGGGACAACGCGGCCGCCGCCUAUGCUGCUCCACCCCACCGCAACGUCGUCGCUGGCACUAGCCACGACUUCGUCGACGCAGCGACCGGAUCGGCGGAUCCAACCCGUAUGGUGCGGCGGCGGCGGCUGAAUCCAUGAUGGCGACUGCGUCCAGCGGCUCCCGCCGGCCCAAGCAGGUCCAUCUUCUCCCCCAACCCCUCUCAUGGGCCCCUCGCUGUCGCCUCGACGGCUGGGCCCCCUCCGCAACCGCCGGCCACCGGCAGCAGCCCCAGGGCCGAUGGUGACUUCCAGGCUGCAGCAUUGCUCAAUACCGGUGGCCUCGACGGCCAGCCCCAGCAAGCAUCUCUCUCUCUCUCUCUCUCUCUCUCUCUCUCUCUCUCUCUCCCCCCGUUCCUCUUCUAUGCUGUGCCAGUACCACGGUGGCCAUCCAUUGCCCAGGCCCGUCCAUGCAUUGCAGGUCCAAGUGGCUUCGCGACAGGGUUUGGAAACACUGCUUGUGGGUGACCAUGGGAUGCCCGUAGCCCCGUAGGAGAGACAAAUAAACAUAGCAUACAGAGAAAUAAUUGAUUCAUCACAAGUACAUGCAGUCUUUCUUUGGUCAUACAUGCAGUUUAAUUUUUGUUGGCAGACCAUUUUACUCAAUUUAAUUAUCUUAUUUUCAUUUGAGAACAUCUUAAUGUGCAAGUGUUGGAAUUCUGGUUAUAUUGAUGUUUUAGCCGUCAGUACAACAUUGCCAUGUACUGAUAUAUAUGGGAUAAUAAGCUUCAGUGUAUGAAGCUGUUGUUAACUUCUGCUCCCAUCAUGCACGACGUUAUCCCUUGAUGUAUAGCUGCAGUUAUUAGCAAUGUGUGUCACCUGUUAGCGAUGUACACAGUGAUUUCUGCAAUUCUUACGGGAGAGUCACCUCUGUUUAAUGCACCUGUUUCAGUAGAAGCACAAGCAGCCCUCCAUGAAAACUUCUACAGUUUUAUGUUCACAUCACGAUACAGAUACACGAGUUUUUAUAAUUAAGUUGGGACAUAAGUUUUAGUGUAGUUUCUGAUUGUAUCUUCAAUGACUUGUUGGACAGCCGUACUUUCUAGCAUAUCAACCUGAUACAAACUCUUACAUUGUUGUAACAACUGUUUCUCUAAGAAGACUCUUACAUUGGUUGCAGUUGCC
This is a long non-coding RNA of Aegilops tauschii subsp. strangulata, 1232 nucleotides long. RefSeq lists it as uncharacterized. Lineage: Eukaryota; Viridiplantae; Streptophyta; Magnoliopsida; Poales; Poaceae. The record is from RefSeq and is a predicted model, not a curated record.